RNAcentral lists this ribosomal RNA (465 nucleotides) under uncultured bacterium. RNAcentral's name for it is "bacterial SSU rRNA". It matches the Rfam family "Bacterial small subunit ribosomal RNA", at positions 32 to 507 of the family's 1533-position model. The record is from RNAcentral.
AAUCAACGCUGGCGGCGUGCCUCAAACAUGCAAGUCAAACGAUUAAAGCUCCCUUCGGGGAGUGCAUAAAGUGGCGCACGGGUGAGUAACACGUAAGUAAUCUACCCUCGGGGGGGGAAUAACGUUCGGAAACGGACGCUAAUACCGCAUAAUGCAGCGGCACCGCAGGGUGACAGUUGUUAAAAAUUUAUUGCCUGGGGAGGAGCUUGCGGCAAAUUAGCUUGUUGGUAAGGUAACGGCUUACCAAGGCUACAAUCUGUAUCCGGUCUAAAAGGACGGUCGGACACACUGACACUGAAUAACGGGUCAAACUCCUACGGGAGGCAGCAGUCGGGAAUUUUGGGCAAUGGGGGAAACCCUGACCCAGCAACGCCGCGUGAAGGAUGAAGUAUUUCGGUAUGUAAACUUCAAAAGAAUAGGAAAAAUUAAUGACGGUACUAUUUAUAAGGUCCGGCUAACUACGUG